UGUCAUUUAGAGGAAGUAAAAGUCGUAACAAGGUUUCCGUAGGUGAACAUGCGGAAGGAUCAUUAUUGAAAUAAACCUGAUGGGUUGUUGCUGGCUCUCUAGGGAGCAUGUGCACGCCUUGUCAUCUUUAUAUCUCCACCUGUGCACCUUUUGUAGACCUUUCGGGGUCUAUGUUGCUUCAUUUUUCCACAAUGUAUGUUAAUAGAAUGUUGUGCCCUGUAUAAUAUAUACAACUUUCAGCAACGGAUCUCUUGGCUCUCGCAUCGAUGAAGAACGCAGCGAAAUGCGAUAAGUAAUGUGAAUUGCAGAAUUCAGUGAAUCAUCGAAUCUUUGAACGCACCUUGCGCUCCUUGGUAUUCCGAGGAGCAUGCCUGUUUGAGUGUCAUUAAUAUACAUAUAUCAAGCCUUCUCUUGUAGAAGGGUUUGGAUGUGGGGGUUUGCUGGCCUCUUAAUCUUAAGAGUUCAGCUCUCCUGAAAUGCAUUAGCAGAACAACCUUAUGUUCAUUGGUGUGAUAACUAUCUACGCUAUUGAAUGUUGAGGGGGAAGUUCGGCUUUCUAACGGUCCCUUGGACAACUCAUCAUUAAUGUGACCUCAAAUCAGGUAGGACUACCCGCUGAACUUAAGCAUAUCAAUAAGCGGAGGAAAAGAAACUAACAAGGAUUCCCCUAGUAACUGCGAGUGAAGCGGGAAAAGCUCAAAUUUAAAAUCUGGCGGUUUUUUUGGCCGUCCGAGUUGUAAUCUAGAGAAGUGUUAUCCGCGCUGGACCGUGUACAAGUCUCCUGGAAUGGAGCAUCAUAGAGGGUGAGAAUCCCGUCUUUGACAUGGACUGCCAGGGCUUUGUGAUGCGCUCUCAAAGAGUCGAGUUGUUUGGGAAUGCAGCUCAAAAUGGGUGGUAAUUUCCAUCUAAAGCUAAUAUUGGGCGAGAGACCGAUAGCGAACAGGUACCGUGAGGGAAAGAUGAAAGAACUU
Molecule: ribosomal RNA, 971 nt
Filed under: Cortinarius saniosus
Lineage: Eukaryota; Fungi; Basidiomycota; Agaricomycetes; Agaricales; Cortinariaceae
Description: eukaryotic LSU rRNA
Rfam family: Eukaryotic large subunit ribosomal RNA (bases 589-971)
Source: RNAcentral